This is a transfer RNA of Pisolithus tinctorius Marx 270, 74 nucleotides long. It matches the Rfam family "tRNA". Rfam says of the family: Transfer RNA (tRNA) molecules are approximately 80 nucleotides in length. Their secondary structure includes four short double-helical elements and three loops (D, anti-codon, and T loops). Further hydrogen bonds mediate the characteristic L-shaped molecular structure. tRNAs have two regions of fundamental functional importance: the anti-codon, which is responsible for specific mRNA codon recognition, and the 3' end, to which the tRNAs corresponding amino acid is attached (by aminoacyl-tRNA synthetases). tRNAs cope with the degeneracy of the genetic code in two manners: having more than one tRNA (with a specific anti-codon) for a particular amino acid; and 'wobble' base-pairing, i.e. permitting non-standard base-pairing at the 3rd anti-codon position. The record is from Rfam. NCBI's taxonomy places the organism in Eukaryota, Fungi, Basidiomycota, Agaricomycetes, Boletales, Pisolithaceae.
GACCAAAUAGCUCAGUGGUUAGAGCACCUGGUCAAAAACCUGGGAGGUCCAGGGUUCAAUCCCCUGUCUGGUCG